RNAcentral lists this ribosomal RNA (384 nucleotides) under uncultured bacterium. Its description in RNAcentral is "bacterial SSU rRNA". It matches the Rfam family "Bacterial small subunit ribosomal RNA", at positions 380 to 773 of the family's 1533-position model. The record is from RNAcentral.
CAGCUGAUGCAGCAACGCCGCGUGAGGGAUGACGGCCUUCGGGUUGUAAACCUCUUUCAGCAGGGACGAAGCUGACGUUACCGUACCCUGCAAAACACGGCCCAGCCAAUUACAUCCCCCCCGCCGCUAUAAUACGUACGAGCCUUGCGUUGUCCUAAUUUAUUGAGCGUAAACAGCUCCUAUGCGGUUUGUCCACGUCUGAUGUGAAAACCCUCAGCUCAACCCCUGCCCUGCAUUCUAUACUGCCAGACUUCAGUUCAGGAGGGUAGAAUUGAAUUCCUGGUGUUGAAAUGAAAUGCCUCAUAUAUCGAGAAGAACUCCCGUAGCCAACGCGGUUCUCUGGGACUGAACUGACGCUGAGGAGCCAUAGCGUGCGGACCAGAC